GACGAACGCUGGCGGCGUGCCUAACACAUGCAAGUCGAGCGAUGAAAUCCCUUCGGGGAUGGAUUAGCGGCGGACGGGUGAGUAACACGUGGGUAACCUGCCUCAAAGAGGGGGAUAGCCUCCCGAAAGGGAGAUUAAUACCGCAUAAUAUUAGUUUUUCGCAUGAAGAACUAAUUAAAGGAGUAAUCCGCUUUGAGAUGGACCCGCGGCGCAUUAGCUAGUUGGUGAGGUAACGGCUCACCAAGGCGACGAUGCGUAGCCGACCUGAGAGGGUGAUCGGCCAAAUUGGAACUGAGACACGGUCCAGACUCCUACGGGAGGCAGCAGUGGGGAAUAUUGCACAAUGGGCGAAAGCCUGAUGCAGCAACGCCGCGUGAGUGAUGAAGGCCUUCGGGUUGUAAAGCUCUGUCUUUGGGGACGAUAAUGACGGUACCCAAGGAGGAAGCCACGGCUAACUACGUGCCAGCCGCCGCAGUAA
RNAcentral lists this ribosomal RNA (478 nucleotides) under uncultured bacterium. RNAcentral describes it as "partial 16S ribosomal RNA". It matches the Rfam family "Bacterial small subunit ribosomal RNA", at positions 28 to 523 of the family's 1533-position model. The record is from RNAcentral.